AGUUAUCUGAACCUUCGGGGAACGAUAACGGCGUCGAGCGGCGGACGGGUGAGUAAUGCCUAGGAAAUUGCCCUGAUGUGGGGGAUAACCAUUGGAAACGAUGGCUAAUACCGCAUAAUACCUACGGGUCAAAGAGGGGGACCUUCGGGCCUCUCGCGUCAGGAUAUGCCUAGGUGGGAUUAGCUAGUUGGUGAGGUAAUGGCUCACCAAGGCGACGAUCCCUAGCUGGUCUGAGAGGAUGAUCAGCCACACUGGAACUGAGACACGGUCCAGACUCCUACGGGAGGCAGCAGUGGGGAAUAUUGCACAAUGGGCGCAAGCCUGAUGCAGCCAUGCCGCGUGUGUGAAGAAGGCCUUCGGGUUGUAAGGCACUUUCAGUCGUGAGGAAGGUAGUGUAGUUAAUAGCUGCAUUAUUUGACGUUAGCGACAGAAGAAGCACCGGCUAACUCCGUGCCAGCAGCCGCGGUAAUACGGAGGGUGCGAGCGUUAAUCGGAAUUACUGGGCGUAAAGCGCAUGCAGGUGGUUUGUUAAGUCAGAUGUGAAAGCCCGGGGCUCAACCUCGGAAUAGCAUUUGAAACUGGCAGACUAGAGUACUGUAG
This 600-nucleotide ribosomal RNA is filed under the name uncultured bacterium. RNAcentral describes it as "bacterial SSU rRNA". It matches the Rfam family "Bacterial small subunit ribosomal RNA", at positions 60 to 654 of the family's 1533-position model. The record is from RNAcentral.